GUCACCCAGGCUUCAAGCAUAACCGUUAAAGAGCUUGAUAAACUCCUACCGUGGUUAUCACUGCAAACAUGCUGCCGAGUAUUGAUGUUGCCAUCCAUAUUCCAUCCUUGUUUCUAACAGGAGGACUUCAGAUGGCACAUUGCACACUGUCCUUGUGAUGGCUGAUUCGAUGGUUUACCAACUUGUAUCCAACAUUAUUUUGUGAAAGAACAGUUCUAACAAUUUUGUGUGGGACCAUCUACUGAAGACUGGCUAUCACAUCUUGAGCCACACUCUCAAAGAAAACUGACACUCCCCCAGCAAUCAUCAGCUACCCACAGCUCCCCAUUGAGGGGUAAAUUCCACAAGGGACUGUUGUUAGGCUCCAUCUUGUGCAUAUCUUAGGCAGACAACCACAGUUCCUUUGAGUUCACGAGUGCAGUGGACUUGUCAUGUCUAGAAGAUAGUGUUCUCUUCGGAUCCUCCCUGACCUCUGGCUCAUAAAAUCUUUUCUCCACACUUCCAUGAUGGUCCCCAAGCCUUGGAGAGGAAUGUGAUAUAGAUGCCCCAUUUAUGACUGAGCUCCACUGACACGUCUCUGCACUUGGACCCGUCGUUAGUUUCUGCAUUAACCACAAUCCACUGCACAAAGAAGCUUCUCUAAUGAUGUUUGAGAGCUGCACUAAUGAGAGCCUGGGCCCAGAAGAAUACUCUCUACUUUCUUCCUCUAGAAAUUUCAGAGUUUCCAGUCUAGUAGAUCAAUCUGGAAUUGACUUGCGCACAAGACCCCUCAAGAUUCUACCUAUGAGACCACAUCAUCUACAACUGGAGAUGGUUUUACUUCUUCUUCCUUUUCCAUUUAAUGGUUUCUACUUCUCCUUUCAUCUCCCCUCCUUUGGUCCUCCAGUACAGUGUGGGUUCAAACACUCCAUUCUGUCUUAUUCCUGAUCAUACAGAUGCUCUGUGUUGAGGUAUUUGAGAAAGUCCCCUUCCUUCAUUAGUGUUUUUUGGGGGGAGCAUGUUUUUAUUGAAGAAAGUUAUUCCAUAUGGCUUUACUGGUCGAUCUUUUUCAAUAGCAAAGCAAUUUUUAUUCGUUCAAAAAUUCCUCUUAAAAACACAUUUUUUUUUAUCUUGUGGCAAAAUAAACUGAUUUUUAAUUG
Molecule: long non-coding RNA, 1139 nt
Filed under: Mus caroli (Ryukyu mouse)
Lineage: Eukaryota; Metazoa; Chordata; Mammalia; Rodentia; Muridae
Description: lncRNA (MGP_CAROLIEiJ_G0004934.1)
Source: RNAcentral